RNAcentral lists this ribosomal RNA (253 nucleotides) under uncultured bacterium. RNAcentral describes it as "partial 16S ribosomal RNA". It matches the Rfam family "Bacterial small subunit ribosomal RNA", at positions 524 to 776 of the family's 1533-position model. The record is from RNAcentral.
UACGGGGGGGGCAAGCGUUGUUCGGAAUUACUGGGCGUAAAGGGCUCGUAGGCGGCCAACUAAGUCAGACGUGAAAUCCCUCGGCUUAACCGGGGAACUGCGUCUGAUACUGGAUGGCUUGAGUUUGGGAGAGGGAUGCGGAAUUCCAGGUGUAGCGGUGAAAUGCGUAGAUAUUGGGAAGAACACCUGAGGCGAAGGCGGGUUGCUGGGCUGAUACUGACGCUGAGGCGCGAAAGCCAGGGGAGCAAACGGG